This 221-nucleotide unclassified non-coding RNA is filed under the name Mucor mucedo. RNAcentral's name for it is "partial internal transcribed spacer 2". Lineage: Eukaryota; Fungi; Mucoromycota; Mucoromycetes; Mucorales; Mucoraceae. The record is from RNAcentral.
ACUACCCCACAUUUAUAAUUUUUUUUUGUUAUAGAUGGCCUUUGAGAGUUUACCGGUGGAUUUUUUUCCAUUGGUUCUCCUUAAUAUAAUCUGGCAGAAGGAAUUGACUGUAUGUUCGUAGAUGCCCAUUAAACCUUUUAAUUGAAAGAUUUUUUUGGGCGCUUAAAGUCUGCGUGCAACUACACAGUUGAAACUGGAGGCCACUCAAAUAAAAUUUUAAA